Molecule: transfer RNA, 64 nt
Filed under: Cichlidogyrus halli
Lineage: Eukaryota; Metazoa; Platyhelminthes; Monogenea; Dactylogyridea; Ancyrocephalidae
Description: tRNA-His
Source: RNAcentral
UCGCCGUUAGGUUAAUAUAAACCUCUAACUUGUGGUGUUAGAAAUAUGAGAUGCAUACAGCGAA